RNAcentral lists this long non-coding RNA (5069 nucleotides) under Homo sapiens (human). RNAcentral's name for it is "non-protein coding LINC00261:10". Lineage: Eukaryota; Metazoa; Chordata; Mammalia; Primates; Hominidae. The record is from RNAcentral.
GUUUCGCUCCCCCAGCCUGCACUUUCUCCUCUUCGAACACUCGUCCACCCUGCUCCAGCCCGAGCUGCACCUUCUCCGACCCGGUAUCUCAAAAGGAGCUCGAACUCCUUUUCCUCUGGGGAGGAGAAAGAAUGGGUGGCCUCCGCGUCACUCUGUUUCCCUUCCUCCUCCUCAGUCCUGAUAGAAUCGAAGGGCUGCCCUUGUUCCAGAAACAUAAUAACUGCAUUCCAGCUGACUCCGAUGGGGGCGGGGGGCGGAGUAGUGGAAGCCCAUUUUUAUUUGAAACCUGUCCCUAUAUUUUCCUUCCCAGGAAUCCCUGGAUAAAGACCAGCUCAACCAUCGCUGAGAAAACAGACCUAGGCUUCCCAGGGCGGUUAACCCGCCGGCCUCUGGGCAGAGACUAAAAGACAAAACAAAAUAAAACAACAACAAAAAACUCCCAGUGUGUUUCCUACUCUUCUUUGUCUUGGAGGAAAGCAAAGGGAGAGAAAUGGACUUCACCAGUGGUCUUUGGCUUCAUCAAUUCACAGGAAAUGGCAUCAAGAUGGUUCAACUAAGACAUGAUCACUAAAAACAUUAUAAUAAUACCUUUUUGAAAAACUCAGUUUCUCCUGUUUACUAAAUAUUUAUUUCAUCAACAUGGGCUGCGUUCCACUGUGUCAGGAUUCUGCAUGUGGGUGGAGCACUGUUCCAGCCUGAGAAGAUGGUUCUGAGGCCACUUAGCAAGACAUUUUCCAGCAUGAGCAGGUUUCUCUGUGGAAAUAGUGACACCUGUUCUGGUGUGUUGUCUUUCCUCAGGGAACUUAAGGGGUACAAAGCUCCUGAAAAUGUUCUUUAUGCUGGUUGAAGCUCUUAUGUCGCUGUACUGAUUCCCUACGAUGCAGAUUUGAAUCACAGAGUAAUUAAAAUAUGGAUCAAAUAAGGCUGGGGCUCACCAAGGCUGAAAGCUGUAGCCAUUCAAGGCAUCAUUUCUGUCAUGAAAAUAUAGGACCUUUUCAAAACAUGCCUUCAGGAAGGUGUUCUCUUUUCAAACAAAAGUCUAAUGACUGCAUAACUCUUCUUGACCACAUCUUACACUUUCUCUAGACUUGCUUAUUUACAGCUACUGGAACAAAAAGAUGAAAUGAAUAAAGCACACUGAUUGUCCUAAGAGUCUUCUGUGACUAAAAGCACAUGAGCUUCUCCCCAGGCUGAGCUUUGACCCUCCCAAGCAUUUCCCCAAAGGCCAUGACACUGCAUCAGAUUGCUCCUGGACACUUUCCUCAGAGUUUUCAACAAAUAUAAACUGAGGAGUGGAGCACAGCACCAGAUUUGCUAAUCAAGAGGCAAUGGUCCCAGUCCAAAUGGGUGCUGUGUGUGAAUACAGAGCCCAGGAGAAGGGAAGGAGGUCUGUGAACAUCAGGAAUUGCAAAAUCUUGCUGAACCAAUAGACCAACAGCCAUUAACAUUUGUCAAUGCAAAGAUCCUAAAAUAUACAAGUGUGGAGUUGUCCUGCCCUAAGAGCUGAAGCUGUGACAAUCACGCUGCCAUGGUAGAUAUUUAAGCUCCCCUGAGGUUACUGAAUCUAACAAUGAAUAAACAAUGAAGAGUAGCUAAUUUUUGGAAAUCUCUUUCUAUGACCGGAAAAUAUUCACAAACUCAGAGUGAUUGUUUGGGGUGAAAGAUGGUCCCAUGCCUUGUGGGCCUCUCUUUGCUAUCUAUACAACGUUGGAAAUGAACCCCUCCCUUACAGGAAAGUGAACAGCAACCAAGGUGAGCCCACCCUGGGAGGGCAGAGUGGGUGUACUUUCCUCGAAGAGCCCUGAACACAACAGGGCACACAAACAGCCACAGCACCCUCAACAAUGCCCCACCAUCUGCCCACCAGGGCACACAGAUUCACGCAGAUUCAGUGACACAUUCCAAAAAAAGGGAAUUAAGGAGGACCCAUGGCAUGGCUAAUGGGGAGAGAGCUUUACUACUUUUAGCACCAUUGCUAAUUAUUGGAGCAAAGAAAGGCAUACAAGGAAUGGAACCCAACCUGUUUAAAGUAAUAAAUGUCAACCCUAAAGUGCAUGGAACCAUCUCUCCUUCCCUUUUGAGGACUGUGUGCUUCACAAGCUGGGCGUUUGCUGCAUGGGGUUUUCUAAUGUAAUGUGAAUUUUCAAUGUGCUUUGUCUCUGUAGAGUGGCUUUAAAAAGCCCUUGAAGUCCUCAGCUUUAAAUCCAUGCUAAUAGGGGAAGUCUUUUUUUUUUUUUUUUGGAGGUGAGGAGCUUUGGUUGGGAGAAACAUUGACCCAGACUGCACUCUGGGUAAACUAGGGCAAAAGACCUGAUAUCGUCUGCAGGGUACUUAUUAACCACUGUUCAUUUGCAGGAUCAAUAUUUCCAGCAAAGGAGUCCACACUCAAGAUACACUGCUACGUCUCACUUUUUCCUUGACACAACAAUUUAUUUUAUAAAUGCAUCUGCUGGAGAAGAAAAGGCAGUACCAAGGAUUGUGUCUUUUAUCUCCAGGAUAUGCAAAGCGCAUUUAUUUUCAGCUUUUAUCUCUGGAAUUGUAUGUUGAUCCCAUACAUAUAGAUUGAUUUUGUUCAGGUAGAUAAUGAAAAGUCAAGUGGAAAAUUACACAAUGGCAUUCACGAUCCUAGUCUUAUAUCAGUAUAUAAAUUGGUUUAUUAUUUCAUUCUAUUAAAGAGGCUUUUUUUUGGUACCAGGAAAACUUCAAAAUGCAUUGUGUUGUCAGCCUCACUGAAUUUUCUUUUGGAGGAGGAGGUAGGGAGGGGAAGCCAAAGCCCCGAUUUCUCCUGCUCCUUUUGCUAAUUGUAUUGGCUAAAUGAGCUUUCACAGAGGGGGGUCCUGGCUGCUUUUUGCUCUCCCCCAGACCACUUGUAGGUUGCACACAGGGCUUCUAUAACUCUUUCUGAGUCAGGACAAAGAUAUCCGCCGUGCACACCCUGUGACAUAGGUGGAUAUUUAUUUCAUCCCGGGCAAUUCUAAAUUUUGUCAUGAUGACUGAAAGAGGCAAUCCCCUCCUGAGCAUUAAGAGGCCAGGGGUGAGAGGGUGGCAGCAUAGAAAAGCCACCACCCAGAGACAGCUUGGAGCCAUGAUCCUGGAGGAAAUGUUAUUAAUAAACAUCUUUUGGACAUUUGGUAGCCCGUGGAGCUUGCUCCAGCUUAAAGCAAUUAAUUCAGGACACUGACAUAAACUCUCCAGAUCUUUGACAGCUUGGAGCCGAAAUAAAAAUGCUAGUUCUCCGGGGAAGAGAAGAGGAUGGCUAGCCCUUUUCUGGACUGUUUGCUUAUAGGCCCAGAGAGCAACCUUCCUUGCAGAAUGAAAUGCAAGGGCACAAACAAUGUACCAGGGAGAGAAUAGAAGAUGGGAAUGAACAGUUUGAACUAUUUGCUCAGCAGAAGGGCACCACAAUGCUGGGGUAGUGGUUUUCCCAUGCGUCCACUGUCCCUUCUUUGGGAUCUUUUGUUGUCCCCUGUCUCCUUUGGCCAGAUAAAAGCACAGCUGCAGCAUUGCAGAUAACAAGUAGGCCGUACUUAUCCCCCUAAAUCUCGGGGUGCCUUUACUGUAACAAGUUAUGCUCGGCUCUCUUUUAUUUUACAAGAGGAUGGUGAGGGAGAGAAUGGAAGAACAGAGGGGGCGGACGUAUAAGACAUUUGACACUGCCUAUGUCUGAUUUCUCUUUCUUUCUUUCUUUCUUUCUUUCUUUCUUUCUUUCUUUCUUUCCUUUCUUUCUUUCUUGCAAGCUGUGAUCGGAUGCAAUCUUUGUGGGACAUUUAAAUGGAAGGGUUCAUUGAUGUGUAUUGCUUGCCAAGCCAAAAUGUUGCCUUUGGGGAAAAGGGAGAGAGGUGUUCAUGGAGUGCAGGGAAAGGAGGUUUUGGGGCAGAGAUUUUGACUUAAAAUAACCAGACUUCUUCUGGCUGCUGAAAAGAGGCAAAAGUUUUAAAUUGUCAAGUUUAAAACUAUGUUCAGUUAUGAUUUGCCACUUCUGAAUAUUAUUUUGGAUUUCCCCUUUCAUGCUUAUUUUGUUCAGAAUCCUAAUGAAUAGAGGUUGCUGGACUCAGGGUAAAAGCAGGAUGAACUGGAGAUGGGACAUACAAGGUACUUUUGGAAUUGCCAUAGAUUACACCUAUAAUCAGAGUAAAUGUCAUCAACAAAUAAUCAAAAUAUUUUUUACAUUUGCUCUUCUAAAAUCAGAGCCUAUUUUAAAUAUAAAAGAAAGUAGAUGUGAUAAUAAUAUAAACUACAGUCACAUUAAGUUGAUAUUAAAUUCAAAAUCUAACAUAGAUUUGCACUGUUGGGUGUGUGUUCCGAAUCAGUGGGUUUUCCCACUGAUGUUGAUUUCGGGAGCCAGGCUUCAAUGUUUAAUUCUAUUGUAAUGUGGUUAUUUAGCCUGAAUGGUUUUAUAAGGUGGAAAGGCAAAAAAUUUAAUUCCGAAGAAAACUAGUGUUUUACUAUGACUGUGGUAAACAUUUCCAAAGCCCACCUGUGGGAAAUACAAAGUUUUAAUGCUGUGUGUUUUUUUGUUUUUGUAUUUUGUCUCAUCGACAAAACUGGCAGAAAAAAACGCUUUCGUAUAUUUUUCCUGCUGGGUGGUCAGAAGGAAAGGCCGUGAAGCUAAAGGUCUCCCACUGAGACGCUGUUCUGCAAGGAGCCGACCUCACGUGCCGCCGCCGCCAGAGAAGAGAGCACCUGUUCAUCUCGGCUCACUGUGAGGCUGAGCUCAGCGCUGGCAGGCGAGGGGCCGCAAGCAUCCCCCACAGCCACCGAGAGGGCAUCCCUGCAGGGAAAUCAUAUCCGACAUGCCUGUGCCCACAGCAGACUUAAGACUGCCUCUAAAAUGUCCAUGAAGCCAUUGUCCAGUAGAGCUGUUAGUUUUAACACCAGUGAGUAUUACCUUUGGUUAAAAGGAUGCAUGUGUAUAGGUGUAUGUGUGUGCGUGUGUGUUUGUGUUUUUGGACUUGUGUGGAGAAUGAAGAAAGGGUUCCAUUUAGGCAUUUGCAAAUAUUCGAUGGCAUCAUGAAAAGACAAAAAAAUCCUAUAAAAUAUAUCAUAUUUUGCUAUGAUUUUGUGUGUAC